ACGCUCGACACCUACGAGAGGCAGCAGUGGGGAAUAUUGCACAAUGGGGGAAACCCUGAUGCAGCGACGCCGCGUGAGCGAAGAAGUAUUUCGGUAUGUAAAGCUCUAUCAGCAGGAAAGAAGAAAGACGGUACCUGACUAAGAAGCCCCGGCUAACUACGUGCCAGCAGCCGCGGUAAUCUGAGCGGGCUGGCAAGGC
This 199-nucleotide ribosomal RNA is filed under the name uncultured bacterium. Its description in RNAcentral is "partial 16S ribosomal RNA". It matches the Rfam family "Bacterial small subunit ribosomal RNA", at positions 328 to 539 of the family's 1533-position model. The record is from RNAcentral.